GACGAACGCUGGCGGCGUGCCUAACACAUGCAAGUCGAACGAGAUCCAUGGGAGCUUGCUCCCGGAAGAUCUAGUGGCGAACGGGUGAGUAACACGUGAGAAACCUGCCCUGGAGUGGGGAAUAACUCGGGGAAACUCGAGCUAAUACCGCAUACCCUCGGAUGGUCGCAUGGCCGACCGAGGAAAGAUUUAUCGCUCUAGGAGGGUCUCGCGGCCUAUCAGCUAGUUGGUGGGGUAACGGCCUACCAAGGCAGCGACGGGUAGCUGGUUUGAGAGAACGAUCAGCCACACUGGGACUGAGACACGGCCCAGACUCCUACGGGAGGCAGCAGUGGGGAAUCUUGCGCAAUGGGCGAAAGCCUGACGCAGCAACGCCGCGUGCGGGAUGACGGCC
RNAcentral lists this ribosomal RNA (394 nucleotides) under uncultured bacterium. RNAcentral's name for it is "bacterial SSU rRNA". It matches the Rfam family "Bacterial small subunit ribosomal RNA", at positions 28 to 416 of the family's 1533-position model. The record is from RNAcentral.